RNAcentral lists this unclassified non-coding RNA (472 nucleotides) under Leptinotarsa decemlineata (Colorado potato beetle). Its description in RNAcentral is "epithelial splicing regulatory protein 1, transcript variant X5". The record is from RNAcentral. Lineage: Eukaryota; Metazoa; Arthropoda; Insecta; Coleoptera; Chrysomelidae.
GAUAUGUCAGUUUGUUUUGUUGGUUCUCAUUUGUUCAUGCUUUGUUAUGCGCCAUUUUCUAUUUUGCUGAAGUUAAUUCGAUGGCGUAAAAUACUGAAUAAUUUUCAUAUUGUUUUUAGUCGAUUCUCUUCGCAAGAUUUCAAGAUUGGUAUUCACCCAUACCCAUUAUUCAUGUAUGAAUAGUUUUCAACUCGCUUGAGGGCUUUCCUGACAAAAAGAGUAGGUGAAAACUUCCACCAGCAUCAGAAGAACACUUCUCUCAAUUCGUCAUUGUGCCUAGCUGACUGGGACUUCAUUGGUGACCGCUAACCCCAUCGUAGUUGAUCAAGUUUAGAACUGGUUGUUGCCAUUCCUAGGAUAUUCUGAUCAAUUUUGUGUCGCGGUGGAUAUAGUUUAUUUCUGUUUCCGAAAAAACAAUGUAUGCUGUCUGGUGUUGGACCCCGAAUGCAAGGAAGCUGUAGACCUGCGAAGU